GCUGGGCAUGGUGGUGCACACCUGUAAUCCCAGCUACUUGGGAGGCUGAGGCAGAAGGAUCACAAGUUCAAGUCCAGCCUCAACAACUAAGCGAGACCCUGUUUCAA
This 107-nucleotide small RNA is filed under the name Marmota monax (woodchuck). Lineage: Eukaryota; Metazoa; Chordata; Mammalia; Rodentia; Sciuridae. The record is from RNAcentral.